GACGAACGCUGGCGGCGUGCUUAACACAUGCAAGUCGAACGAUGAAGCCGGAGCUUGCUCUGGUGAAUUAGUGGCGAACGGGUGAGUAACACGUGAGUAACCUGCCCUUGACUCUGGGAUAACUGCGGGAAACUGUAGCUAAUACCGGAUACGACCCUCGGAGGCAUCUCCUGGGGUGGAAAGAAUUUCGGUCAAGGAUGGACUCGCGGCCUAUCAGCUAGUUGGUGAGGUAAAGGCGCACCAAGGCGACGACGGGUAGCCGGCCUGAGAGGGUGACCGGCCACACUGGGACUGAGACACGGCCCAGACUCCUACGGGAGGCAGCAGUGGGGAAUAUUGCACAAUGGGCGCAAGCCUGAUGCAGCAACGCCGCGUGAGGGAUGACGGCCUUCGGGUUGUAAACCUCUUUUAGCAGGGAAGAAGCGAAAGUGACGGUACCUGCAGAAAAAGCACCGGCUAACUACGUGCCAGCCGCCGCGGUAA
Molecule: ribosomal RNA, 483 nt
Filed under: uncultured bacterium
Lineage: Bacteria
Description: partial 16S ribosomal RNA
Rfam family: Bacterial small subunit ribosomal RNA
Source: RNAcentral